Molecule: ribosomal RNA, 345 nt
Filed under: uncultured bacterium
Lineage: Bacteria
Description: bacterial SSU rRNA
Rfam family: Bacterial small subunit ribosomal RNA
Source: RNAcentral
GACGAACGCUGGCGGCGUGCUUAACACAUGCAAGUCGAGCGGUAAGGCCCUUUCGGGGGUACACGAGCGGCGAACGGGUGAGUAACACGUGGGUGACCUGCCCUCAGCUCUGGGAUAAGCCUGGGAAACCGGGUCUAAUACUGGAUAUGACUCCAUGACGCAUGUUGUGGGGUGGAAAGCCUUGUGCGGCUGAGGAUGGGCCCGCGGCCUAUCAGCUUGUUGGUGGGGUGAUGGCCUACCAAGGCGACGACGGGUAGCCGGCCUGAGAGGGCGACCGGCCACACUGGGACUGAGAUACGGCCCAGACUCCUACGGGAGGCAGCAGUGAGGAAUAUUGGUCAAUGG